This 497-nucleotide ribosomal RNA is filed under the name uncultured bacterium. RNAcentral describes it as "partial 16S ribosomal RNA". It matches the Rfam family "Bacterial small subunit ribosomal RNA", at positions 28 to 507 of the family's 1533-position model. The record is from RNAcentral.
GAUGAACGCUGGCGGCGUGCCUAAUACAUGCAAGUCGAGCGAACAGACGAGGAGCUUGCUCCUCUGAUGUUAGCGGCGGACGGGUGAGUAACACGUGGAUAACCUACCUAUAAGACUGGGAUAACUUCGGGAAACCGGAGCUAAUACCGGAUAACAUGUUGAACCGCAUGGUUCAACAGUGAAAGACGGUCUUGCUGUCACUUAUAGAUGGAUCCGCGCCGCAUUAGCUAGUUGGUAAGGCAACGGCUUACCAAGGCAACGAUGCGUAGCCGACCUGAGAGGGUGAUCGGCCACACUGGAACUGAGACACGGUCCAGACUCCUACGGGAGGCAGCAGUAGGGAAUCUUCCGCAAUGGGCGAAAGCCUGACGGAGCAACGCCGCGUGAGUGAAGAAGGUCUUCGGAUCGUAAAACUCUGUUAUUAGGGAAGAACAAAUGUGUAAGUAACUAUGCACGUCUUGACGGUACCUAAUCAGAAAGCCACGGCUAACUACGUG